RNAcentral lists this small RNA (633 nucleotides) under Histoplasma capsulatum var. duboisii H88. RNAcentral describes it as "Histoplasma capsulatum H88 hypothetical RNA". The record is from RNAcentral. Lineage: Eukaryota; Fungi; Ascomycota; Eurotiomycetes; Onygenales; Ajellomycetaceae.
GUCUCCGGGAACUCUUGUGUCCUCCUCCUCCUCCUCCUCUUCUCCUCUCUCUCUCUUCUCCUACAUCUUCCCCGGUUGAUCAGACGACCAAGUGAAGAACCUUAUGAAUGGCAGGCACUCAUUGAGGCUCAAUUUUGAGAUAGAUCACACUCUUGUCUAAGGGAGUCCCUGCAGCCUGGAAGAGGACUUGUUAUCAUCCCAUCUACGAACGAGUGCCAGGCUCCCAUGUCCUCCGUAGACAGAUACAGAUACCUCUAUAUACAGAUCUGUACCCCGGACACGCUCUAAAAAUAUCAGCCCACAAGGACGAAAUGGGAAGGAAAAAGCAAAAAAAAGGGAAACGAAGAAAAAGAAGCCGGAUGGAGGGGCCACUAAGCUGUAUACGGAUGGUAGAUUGCAGAUCACUCAACCACAAUACAAUACGUGACGAGGGAGACGAUCUAUGUAUAUAUUCUCAUGAUUAACCCCACCCCUGAUUGGGAGUCUGGAUAUAUGUCGGAGGCGGCUGCUCUGUCGGUGAUCUUGCUUGGGAGAAAGCGCAGAGAGAGGAGAGAAGAGAAAGGCUUGAGUGGCAGCUGGAGGGGCCUCCACAUGUGCGUUGUGUGUGCAGACAAAGCGCGAUCGACGGGGAUU